RNAcentral lists this ribosomal RNA (253 nucleotides) under uncultured bacterium. RNAcentral describes it as "partial 16S ribosomal RNA". It matches the Rfam family "Bacterial small subunit ribosomal RNA", at positions 524 to 776 of the family's 1533-position model. The record is from RNAcentral.
UACAGAGGGUGCGAGCGUUGUUCGGAAUUACUGGGCGUAAAGCGCGUGUAGGCGGUCUAAUAAGUCAGAUGUGAAAUCCCGGGGCCUAACUCCGGAAGUGCAUUUGAAACUGUUAGGCUGGAGUGAUGUAGAGGAUGGCGGAAUACCCAGUGUAGUGGUGAAAUACGUAGAGAUUGGGUAGAACACCGGUGGCGAAGGCGGCCAUCUGGGCAUUAACUGACGCUGAGGAGCGAAAGCGUGGGGAGCGAACAGG